This is a long non-coding RNA of Gallus gallus (chicken), 865 nucleotides long. The record is from Ensembl. Lineage: Eukaryota; Metazoa; Chordata; Aves; Galliformes; Phasianidae.
CAUAAAUGGCCUUUCUGUGCUCCUGAUUUACAUGCAUUGGACCAUCUCCAUAUGAAGUUCAUCUCCAUAUGAAGUUUUAUGUCCAACACUGGGAAGCGCAUUCAAAAAAGGAAUCAGAGUUCAGAUAAGUGCUACAGAAAGCACCUACAAAACCUGACCUGAAGGAAGAAAGAAAAGUUUUCAUUUCGAAGAAAGAAUCCUGAGAUGUGAAAUGUUGAUAGAGGAAGUUACUAGUAAGUAACUGAAGACCUACUCCAAACCCCACUGAACACAGAAGAAUAACCUGUUGAUUUCUUUCAAAGCUGUGGAAAAGCCUGAAAUCAAAAGCAAAAGAACGUUAAUUAUUACACAAGAUACUGGAUCUCAGUACAUGUCACCUUCGAUCUCACACAUAAAACAACCCUGAGAUUCUCUAGCACAUGGAUGGAAAGGAAAUAGAUGACAAAGUGGACAGUAAAGCAGUCUUCCACCCAGUGCAACUAGGACUGGUCCUGUUUCUUCCUUUUCGACACUUACUCCUCUGAAAAUCCCUGAUGGAAACUGGAUUGUGGAAAGCCCUUAUAAUAGACAGAAACAUCAUGUAGCAGAACUGUACAGGAGCCAUGCAGCACACUGGGUUCUUGAAGGAGUGUGUCUGUACAAUCAAUAAGACAAAUUUAUGAACAUGAUUUGUUCAGUGAAGUAAUUUAAUUGUAUGUAAUAUGAUCAAAAUGGAUUUAGAAAAAAAGAAGUUGGGAACUGGGAAAAGCAGAUGCACGGUAACACAAACGCAAACCAGUAACAUGAAGCUACCAAAACAUUGAUUCAAGCUUUCAUAGAAUGACCUGUUUUCCUGGCUCAGGCAGCUUUUUGCAUUAAAAUCUGG